Molecule: ribosomal RNA, 447 nt
Filed under: uncultured bacterium
Lineage: Bacteria
Description: partial 16S ribosomal RNA
Rfam family: Bacterial small subunit ribosomal RNA
Source: RNAcentral
AACGAACGCUGGCGGCAGGCCUAACACAUGCAAGUCGAACGCCCCGCAAGGGGAGUGGCAGACGGGUGAGUAACACGCGGGAACCUUCCCAACAGUACGGAAUAGCCCAGGGAAACUUGGAGUAAUACCGUAUAUUCCCGAGAGGGGAAAGAUUUAUCGCUGUUGGAUGGGCCCGCGUCGGAUUAGCUAGUUGGUGAGGUAACGGCUCACCAAGGCGACGAUCCGUAGCUGGUUUGAGAGAAUGACCAGCCACACUGGGACUGAGACACGGCCCAGACUCCUACGGGAGGCAGCAGUGGGGAAUCUUGGACAAUGGGCGCAAGCCUGAUCCAGCCAUGCCGCGUGAGUGACGAAGGCCUUAGGGUUGUAAAGCUCUUUUGCCGGGGACGAUAAUGACGGUACCCGGAGAAUAAGUCCCGGCUAACUUCGUGCCAGCCGCCGCCGUAA